GACGAACCGUGCGAACGUUGUUCGGAAUCAUUGGGUUUAAAGGGUCCGUAGGCGGUUUAGUAAGUCAGUGGUGAAAGCCCAUCGCUCAACGGUGGAACGGCCAUUGAUACUGCUAGACUUGAAUUAUUAGGAAGUAACUAGAAUAUGUAGUGUAGCGGUGAAAUGCUUAGAGAUUACAUGGAAUACCAAUUGCGAAGGCAGGUUACUACUAAUGGAUUGACGCUGAUGGACGAAAGCGUGGGUAGCGAACAGG
Molecule: ribosomal RNA, 253 nt
Filed under: uncultured bacterium
Lineage: Bacteria
Description: partial 16S ribosomal RNA
Rfam family: Bacterial small subunit ribosomal RNA
Source: RNAcentral